UCUUGUAGGGUGCAACCUGUCGAGCUAUAAAAUCCUUGAUUAGUGAUUCGUCAAUGGUGCUUCCAAUUUUUCGUACCACAAAGGCCAUGGGUAUAUGCCCUGCUUCCUCGUCAGGAUACGGAAUUACAGCUGUCUCAAUAAUAUCUGAAUGGGAUUGAAGCAGGUGCUCGAGUUCUGCUGGAGCAACCUGGUAGCCUUUGUAUUUGAUUAGUUCCUUAAUACGAUCCACAAAAAACAGGAAGCCUUCACUGUCAAUGUAACAAAGGUCUCCAGUUCUCAACCAUCCUUCAGAAUCCAAAGUUGCAGCUGUUGCUUCUUCA
RNAcentral lists this unclassified non-coding RNA (320 nucleotides) under Hevea brasiliensis (rubber tree). Lineage: Eukaryota; Viridiplantae; Streptophyta; Magnoliopsida; Malpighiales; Euphorbiaceae. The record is from RNAcentral.